CCCGCUGAACUUAAGCAUAUCAGUAAGCGGAGGAAAAGAAAGCAACUGCGAUUCCCCUAGUAACUGCGAGUGAAGAGGGAAAAGCUCAAAACUGAAUCGAGCGCAACAUGUUUGCGUUUCGAAUUGUAGUUUAUAAGUAGGUAUCGGGGUCUGGUAUCCGGUUAAGUCUGCUGGAACGCAACGCCACAGAGGGUGAGAGCCCCGUGACCUGGAUUUCUGGUCUCCAUAUGUUACUUACUUGUCGAGUCACACUGUUUGAGAGUACAGUGUAAAGUGGGAGGUGAAUUCCUCCUAAAGCUAAAUAUAACUCCUACUCCGAUAGCAAACAAGUACCGCAAGGGAAAGUUGCAAAGAACUUUGAAAAUAGAGUUAAAAGACCUGAAACCUUUAAUGGGGAAGGGCUGAAGCGAGACGCGCUAACGGGUACCUCUAGUGCCACAUCACGGAGCUUGUGUGUCCUUGUGGUCUUUUGCUGAGUCCCAAGGGCAUGGAAGGUAGAGGGAUGUGGUACCUAAUUGUAUCCAGGCGGUCCGUAUGGCUUUGUGGUUCACUAGAAACGUCCUGUACGAACCCAGGACUUCGGUCUUGGUAGUACAGGUCGCCCUAGGGUUCCACAAGGUUAACAUCUCGGUGUUGGCACGCGCCUUUUGGCAGCAAAUCAUCCAAAAUCAGUGCUUCAGAAGCUACCUCGAGAAAUCGUGGUGGUGGAUGGAGUGCUGGUGGAGGGUGACGAGCAGCGUGCUCAAUCAAUACGGUCAGAGUCGUCGGACUUCAGCCUCCCGUCUUGAAACACGG
RNAcentral lists this ribosomal RNA (795 nucleotides) under uncultured fungus. RNAcentral's name for it is "eukaryotic LSU rRNA". It matches the Rfam family "Eukaryotic large subunit ribosomal RNA", at positions 24 to 664 of the family's 3401-position model. Lineage: Eukaryota; Fungi. The record is from RNAcentral.